This 497-nucleotide ribosomal RNA is filed under the name uncultured bacterium. Its description in RNAcentral is "partial 16S ribosomal RNA". It matches the Rfam family "Bacterial small subunit ribosomal RNA", at positions 28 to 507 of the family's 1533-position model. The record is from RNAcentral.
GAUGAACGCUGGCGGCGUGCCUAAUACAUGCAAGUCGAGCGAACGGACGAGAAUCGUUCUUCUCUGAUUUUAGCUUCUUACGGGUGAGUAACACAUGGAUAACCUACCUAUGAGACUGGUAUAACUUCGGGAAGCCUGAGCUAAUGCCGUAUGAUCUUUUGAACCGCAUGGUUCAAGAGUGAAAUACGGUCUUGGUAUCACUUAUAGAUGGAUCCGCUCUGCAUUAGCUAGUUGGUAAAGUCACUGCUUACCAAGGUAACGAUGCAUAGGGCACCUGAACGGGUCGUCGGCCAGACGGGAUCUGAGACACGGUCCCGACACCGACGCGAGGAAGCAGUAGGGAAUCUUACGGGAUGCAGGAAAGCCUGAUGGAGCAAAGCCGCGUGAGUGAUGAAGGUCUUAGGACGCGAAAAGGAUGUAAUUAGGGAAGAACAAAUGUGCAAGUAACUGUGCACAUAGUGACGGUACCUAACCAGAAAGCCCCGGCUAACUACGUG